CGGCGGACGGGUGAGUAACACGUGGAUAACCUACCUAUAAGACUGGGAUAACUUCGGGAAACCGAGCUAAUACCGGAUAAUAUAUUGAACCGCAUGGUUCAAUAGUGAAAGACGGUUUUGCUGUCACUUAUAGAUGGAUCCGCGCCGCAUUAGCUAGUUGGUAAGGUAACGGCUUACCAAGGCAACGAUGCGUAGCCGACCUGAGAGGGUGAUCGGCCACACUGGAACUGAGACACGGUCCAG
This 243-nucleotide ribosomal RNA is filed under the name uncultured Staphylococcus sp. Its description in RNAcentral is "partial 16S ribosomal RNA". It matches the Rfam family "Bacterial small subunit ribosomal RNA", at positions 96 to 334 of the family's 1533-position model. The record is from RNAcentral. Lineage: Bacteria; Bacillati; Bacillota; Bacilli; Caryophanales; Staphylococcaceae.